GAUGAGGUGACCGAGAGUUUAAAGUGAUGGACUGCUAAUCCAUUGUAAUCUGCAUGCAUGGGUUUGAGUCCCAUCCUCAUCG
Molecule: transfer RNA, 82 nt
Filed under: Takifugu flavidus (sansaifugu)
Lineage: Eukaryota; Metazoa; Chordata; Actinopteri; Tetraodontiformes; Tetraodontidae
Also listed under: 1 other name
Rfam family: tRNA
About the family: Transfer RNA (tRNA) molecules are approximately 80 nucleotides in length.
Source: Rfam by way of RNAcentral